This 465-nucleotide ribosomal RNA is filed under the name uncultured bacterium. Its description in RNAcentral is "partial 16S ribosomal RNA". It matches the Rfam family "Bacterial small subunit ribosomal RNA", at positions 338 to 795 of the family's 1533-position model. The record is from RNAcentral.
CCUACGGGAGGCAGCAGUGGGGAAUAUUGCGCAAUGGGCGAAAGCCUGACGCAGCGACGCCGCGUGAGGGAUGAAGGUCUUCGGAUCGUAAAACUCUGUCAGCAGGGAAGAACGGUCACUGUGCUAAUCAGCAGUGAAUUGACGGUACCUGCAAAGGAAGCACCGGCUAACUCCGUGCCAGCAGCCGCGGCAAUACGGAGGGUGUGAGCGUUAAUCGGAUUUACUGGGCGUAAAGCGCUCGUAGGCGGUAUGUCAAGUCAAGGGUGAAAUCCCCGGGCUCAACGGGGGAACGGCCUUGGAAACUGGCAAACUGGAGUGUGUGAGAGGAUAGUGGAAUUCCAGGUGUAGGAGUGAAAUCCGUAGAUAUCUGGAGGAACAUCAGUGGCGAAGGCGACUAUCUGGCACAUAACUGACGCUGAGGAGCGAAAGCGUGGGUAGCAAACAGGAUUAGAUACCCCUGUAGUC